GAAACACUCCAGCUAGAGUAACUACAGGAGCUCCUUCUGAUGCAAGAGUUUACAUUAGCACUCUCACAAAAGCAGGAGGGAUCGAACUUGAGUCCUUGCCUUUGUGCAGCAGGCAACAAAACCACUGAGAGGAGACCACUGAGAUUCAGGGCUUCAUGAAGGCAGCACAACUGCUGGAUAGAGGCUCAAAGUGAGAGAAGGAGAUGUCAAAGUGGGAACCAGGACCCAAGAUUCUAUACCACCACCUACUGUCUCCUCUGAAACUUGCUUCUAUCUAAUGAGAAAAAAGACUGUACUUGCUAAGACCUCAGUCCUAACUGAUUUAUGGAAUGGAGUCCACAAACACUUAUUUGCUACACAGACCACCCCAUUCUGGUCAAUUGGCCUCUGAAGAGUAGAGAGAGCCCCAUGCAGAACCCUGUGUUGAAUUUCUACCAUUGUCCCUGAGAAGAGAAAGGUAAUAAUGCUGAGAAAACUAGACCCAGGAAAUGAAUCAUUGUUGGCAUGACCCAGAGACAACUGAAUUAAACCUCCCAAGACCCCAAAUGACUCUUCAGUGCAGUCAAAACAAGAUACCAGCGGAACUGGCAGCAGCUGGACUCAGAUUCUUGGCACAUCAUAGAUGCACCAUCAGCCCUUUGGCUACACUGUACAUCACUUGCAAGCAAG
This 669-nucleotide long non-coding RNA is filed under the name Heterocephalus glaber (naked mole-rat). RNAcentral describes it as "lncRNA (ENSHGLG00100034430.1)". Lineage: Eukaryota; Metazoa; Chordata; Mammalia; Rodentia; Bathyergidae. The record is from RNAcentral.